Molecule: ribosomal RNA, 407 nt
Filed under: uncultured bacterium
Lineage: Bacteria
Description: partial 16S ribosomal RNA
Rfam family: Bacterial small subunit ribosomal RNA
Source: RNAcentral
AUUGAACGCUGGCGGCAGGCCUAACACAUGCAAGUCGAGCGGAGCGGCGGACGGGUGAGUAAUUCCUAGGAAUCUGCCUGGUCGAUGGGGAUAACGUCCGGAUACGGGCGCUAAUUACUCAUACUAUCAGUUGCGCUUAGGUCGGAUUGGCUAGUUGGUGGGGUAAAGGCCUACCAAGGCGACGCUCCGUCACUGGCCUGAGAGGAUGAUCAGUCACACUGGAACUGAGACACGGUCCAGACUCCUACGGGAGGCAGCAGUGGGGAAUAUUGGACAAUGGGCGAAAGCCUGAUCCAGCCAUGCCGCGUGUGUGAAGAAGGUCUUCGGAUUGUAAAGCACUUUAAGUUGGGAGGCGUUACCAACAGAAUAAGCACCGGCUAACUUCGUGCCAGCAGCCGCGGUAAUUC